RNAcentral lists this ribosomal RNA (422 nucleotides) under uncultured bacterium. RNAcentral's name for it is "bacterial SSU rRNA". It matches the Rfam family "Bacterial small subunit ribosomal RNA", at positions 355 to 776 of the family's 1533-position model. The record is from RNAcentral.
UGGGGGAUAUUGCACAAUGGGGGGAACCCUGAUGCAGCGACGCCGCGUGAGUGAAGGAGUGAUUCGUCACGUAAAGCUCUAUCAGCAGGGAAGAAAUACUGGCCGUACGGCCAGCAGACGGUACCUGACUAAGAAGCCCCGGCUAACUACGUGCCAGCAGCCGCGGUAAUACGUAGGGGGCAAGCGUUAUCCGGAUUUACUGGGUGUAAAGGGAGCGUAGACGGUGCGCCAAGUCUGGAGUGAAAUCCCGCAGCUCAACUGCGGGGCUGCUCUGGAAACUGGCGUGCUAGAGUGCGGGAGGGGUGGGCGGAAUUCCUAGUGUAGCGGUGAAAUGCGUAGAUAUUAGGAGGAACACCGGUGGCGAAGGCGGCCCACUGGACCGUGACUGACGUUGAGGCUCGAAAGCGUGGGGAGCAAACAGG